UGCUACUUUGCUGACGAGCGGCGGACGGGUGAGUAAUGCUUGGGAACAUGCCUUGAGGUGGGGGACAACAGUUGGAAACGACUGCUAAUACCGCAUAAUGUCUACGGACCAAAGGGGGCUUCGGCUCUCGCCUUUAGAUUGGCCCAAGUGGGAUUAGCUAGUUGGUGAGGUAAUGGCUCACCAAGGCGACGAUCCCUAGCUGGUUUGAGAGGAUGAUCAGCCACACUGGGACUGAGACACGGCCCAGACUCCUACGGGAGGCAGCAGUGGGGAAUAUUGCACAAUGGGCGCAAGCCUGAUGCAGCCAUGCCGCGUGUGUGAAGAAGGCCUUCGGGUUGUAAAGCACUUUCAGUCAGGAGGAAAGGGUGGUGGUUAAUACCCGUCAUGUGUGACGUUACUGACAGAAGAAGCACCGGCUAACUCCGUGCCAGCAGCCGCGGUAAUACGGAGGGUGCGAGCGUUAAUCGGAAUUACUGGGCGUAAAGCGUACGCAGGCGGUUUGUUAAGCGAGAUGUGAAAGCCCCGGGCUCAACCUGGGAACUGCAUUUCGAACUGGCAAACUAGAGUGUGAUAGAGGGUGGUAGAAUUUCAGGUGUAGCGGUGAAAUGCGUAGAGAUCUGAAGGAAUACCGAUGGCGAAGGCAGCCACCU
Molecule: ribosomal RNA, 650 nt
Filed under: Pseudoalteromonas sp. 32AR
Lineage: Bacteria; Pseudomonadati; Pseudomonadota; Gammaproteobacteria; Alteromonadales; Pseudoalteromonadaceae
Description: bacterial SSU rRNA
Rfam family: Bacterial small subunit ribosomal RNA
Source: RNAcentral